AAGGGGGAUGAUAUGACGAUAGAUCAUGAGGAAAACCAGGUAAUAAAGACGACAUGUUUGGAAAUCACACGUCUCCUUGGUGAGAGCCUGGUCAUCUAUUUAUACUCCGUUAUACAAAGGUCAGACGGUGAUUCUCGCUAGACAAGAGGAAGAGGAGAUGAAAAGGAUGUGUUAAAAACUUGGACGUGGUUGUUUUCAUCAGAAUCUUCGGAUCCAAAUGUUUGCACGUUGAUCCCAUCUGCCAUCGCAGGCCGGCAUUCUGUGGUGCAAAUUCCGCACCACAGAAGAUCAGCACCCGAUGUCUUGCACACGGGUUCGGCUUGUAUCUUUCCCUACAGCUAUCAUCGGCUUGUAUUUUUCAUAAAGUUGAUAAGUUCAAACUAUAGCAUACACAGUUAGAUUUGAC
Molecule: long non-coding RNA, 406 nt
Filed under: Elaeis guineensis (African oil palm)
Lineage: Eukaryota; Viridiplantae; Streptophyta; Magnoliopsida; Arecales; Arecaceae
Description: long non-coding RNA (EGUI_LNC025669)
Source: RNAcentral